GGGGCUGUAGCUCAGUUGGGAGAGCGCGGGCUUUGCAAGCCUGAGGUCGUCGGUUCGAAUCCGAUCAGCUCCACCA
RNAcentral lists this transfer RNA (76 nucleotides) under Deltaproteobacteria bacterium. Its description in RNAcentral is "tRNA-Ala". It matches the Rfam family "tRNA". From Rfam's summary of the family: Transfer RNA (tRNA) molecules are approximately 80 nucleotides in length. The record is from RNAcentral. Lineage: Bacteria; Pseudomonadati; Myxococcota; Myxococcia.